Molecule: long non-coding RNA, 1200 nt
Filed under: Canis lupus familiaris (dog)
Lineage: Eukaryota; Metazoa; Chordata; Mammalia; Carnivora; Canidae
Description: lncRNA (ENSCAFG00030023513.1)
Source: RNAcentral
ACAGAAUUGUGGAAACCUUUUCACAAGGUGUAAGCUAUGUCACAUCAUCACGUCGUGCACUUUAAAUAUAUACAAAAUGGUCAAUUAUACCUCAAUAAAACUGGGGGAAAACAAGUUGAGACCUUCCCAAGACUUUGACCAAUGUUCCUUCUCUCAUAUAAGCACCAGCUUUGAAUUUUGGUAGAGAGGGUUCACCUUCUGGGACCACAGGGGACCCACUGAAUAUUACAGAGGACUACCCGCGGAGCAGGCUGUCUGGAGCGAGGGAACACCUGCCACAUGCUCAGAGCAUUUAAGAUUGUGCAAGACAUGCUUGAAAUGAAAUCUAAUGAUCGGUAUUCACUUUUAUGGCAUGGUUUAUAAAAAUAGACAGUCCUCAUAAAGAGCCGCCGUUGCCAACCAAAAGCCUGUCAAGGGCCCAGAGAUUCUAUUUCAAGGCUAACAACUCGAGUUCCUCACAUGUCUCCACUAAUGAUGCCCCGCGUGACCUUGAGCCUCUAGCCUAAAUGUCUUGUUCCUCAUUUUCUCUGUCUGUAAAAGGGGGAUAAUGACACUAGCUGCUGGAUCAUGUUGGCAACAUGCUUAGAAAUCCCCAGAUCAAAGGUGCGCUGCCUGGACCAAACAAGAUGAUGAUGGUGCUUGCCAUCAUUAGUGUUGUUAUUAUUAUUGUUGUUGUUGAGGGUGCCCAUCUUGCAGCCCAGGAAGUAAGCAUGACUCCCAUGACUGAUUCAGCACCAAGGCCGACUAAGGAGGAGUUCCCAGCGCUACAGGAGUCAUUGAUAUAGAGACCGCCCAUUUCAAUGACGUCACAUGAUGGCACAUUCCUAGGCUCCCCGAGUGGAGCAAGGUGCUCUCCUCCCUCCUAGGAGGACCAUGCCUAGUGCAUCUCCAAGAGGACCAGAGGUCAGUGGUGAAGGAAGGAAAUGGCUGAUCACAUCUACUUCCGGAAUCUUCCAUCUAAACCCUCAACACUUGAACCUAAAACUACUUGCCACCUCAGUUUGGAAAUUCCACCAUGCUUUGAAUGGCAAAAGAUCCUCAGGAUGUAAGCAAGUGGAACAUGGAAGGUGCCACAUGUGCAUUAAUUUGUCACAUAUCAUCCUGCCACAAGCCAGCACUGGUGGACAGAGAGAAAUAGAGGGGAGGCUGAAGGGGAGAUGCCUGCAGUGCUCUGUGAAUGAGAAAAGGUCAGUGGAAUGA